CCUACGGGUGGCAGCAGUGGGGAAUAUUGCACAAUGGGGGAAACCCUGAUGCAGCGACGCCGCGUGAGGGAAGAAGUAUUUCGGUACGUAAAGCUCUAUCAGCAGGGAAGAAAAUGACGGUGUCUGACUCAGAAGCGCCGGCACACUACGUGCCACCAGCCGCGGGAAUACGUAGGGGGCAAGCGUUAUCCGGAUUUACUGGGUGUAAAGGGAGCGUAGAGGGGGGCGCAAGUCUGAAGUGAAAUCCCAGGGCUUAACCAUGGAACUGCAUUGGAAAAUGUGCAGCUGGAGUGCAGGAGAGGUAAGCGGAAUUCCUAGUGUAGCGGUGAAAUGCGUAGAUAUUAGGAGGAACACCAGUGGCGAAGGCGGCUUACUGGACGGUAACUGACGUUGAGGCGCGAAAGCGGGGGGAGCAAACAGGAUUAGAUACCCUAGUAGUC
Molecule: ribosomal RNA, 440 nt
Filed under: uncultured bacterium
Lineage: Bacteria
Description: partial 16S ribosomal RNA
Rfam family: Bacterial small subunit ribosomal RNA
Source: RNAcentral